Molecule: ribosomal RNA, 484 nt
Filed under: uncultured bacterium
Lineage: Bacteria
Description: partial 16S ribosomal RNA
Rfam family: Bacterial small subunit ribosomal RNA
Source: RNAcentral
AUUGAACGCUGGCGGAAUGCUUUACACAUGCAAGUCGAACGGCAGCACGGGGGCAACGCUGGUGGCGAGUGGCGAACGGGUGAGUAAUACAUCGGAACGUGCCCGGUCGGGGGGGAUAACGUAGCGAAAGUUACGCUAAUACCACAUACGAUCUGAGGAUGAAAGCGGGGGACGUUUGGGCCUCGCGCGCUCGUAGCGGCCGAUGUCAGAUUAGGUAGCUGGUGGGGUAAAGGGCUACCAAGCCGGCGAUCUGUAGCUGGUCUGAGAGGACGGCCGGCCACACUGGGAGUGAGACACGGCCCAGACUCCUACGGGAGGCAGCAGUGGGGAAUGUUGGACAAUGGGCGCAAGCCUGAUACAGCCAUUCCGCGUGCAGGACGAAGGCCUUCGGGUUGUAAACUGCUUUUGUAGGGAACGAAAAGGCUCUGGCUAAUACCUGGGGCUCAUGACGGUACCGUAAGAAUAAGCACCGGCUAACUACGUG